RNAcentral lists this ribosomal RNA (396 nucleotides) under uncultured bacterium. RNAcentral describes it as "partial 16S ribosomal RNA". It matches the Rfam family "Bacterial small subunit ribosomal RNA", at positions 523 to 918 of the family's 1533-position model. The record is from RNAcentral.
AUACGUAGGGUGCGAGCGUUGUCCGGAAUUACUGGGUGUAAAGGGAGCGCAGGCGGGCGUGCAAGUCAGCUGUGAAAUCCAUGGGCUUAACCCGUGGGCUGCAGUUGAAACUGUAUGUCUUGAGUGAAGUAGAGGUAGGCGGAAUUCCGAGUGUAGCGGUAAAAUGCGUAGAUAUUCGGAGGAACACCGGUGGCGAAGGCGGCCUACUGGGCUUUAACUGACGCUGAGGCUCGAAAGUGUGGGGAGCAAACAGGAUUAGAUACCCUGGUAGUCCACACUGUAAACGAUGAUUGCUAGGUGUGGGGGGUCUGACCCCUUCCGUGCCGCAGUUAACGCAAUAAGCAAUCCACCUGGGGAGUACGGCCGCAAGGCUAAAACUCAAAUGAAUUGGCGGGG